Lupinus angustifolius (narrow-leaved blue lupine) is the source of this 98-nucleotide small nucleolar RNA. The record is from Rfam. Lineage: Eukaryota; Viridiplantae; Streptophyta; Magnoliopsida; Fabales; Fabaceae.
AUGAAGGCGAUGAUGCUUUGAACUACCUAUUUUAUGAGGGAAUAUAUAACAUUCCCUUGUGAUUACAAAUCUACCAAUGGAUCCUUCUGAGCCUUACA